GACCGCGUAGCUCAGUUGGAAGAGCAUUGGGCUGGUAUCCAAAGGUCGUAGGUUCGAAUCCCGCCGUGGCCG
Molecule: transfer RNA, 72 nt
Filed under: Paramuricea clavata
Lineage: Eukaryota; Metazoa; Cnidaria; Anthozoa; Malacalcyonacea; Plexauridae
Rfam family: tRNA
About the family: Transfer RNA (tRNA) molecules are approximately 80 nucleotides in length.
Source: Rfam by way of RNAcentral